Molecule: long non-coding RNA, 686 nt
Organism: Venturia canescens
Lineage: Eukaryota; Metazoa; Arthropoda; Insecta; Hymenoptera; Ichneumonidae
Exons: 3
Source: RefSeq, a predicted model, not a curated record
CAGUGGCUGAAAAUCAAAGAAACAAAUAACUCAAUUAGUACAGCCUACCGAGUUGUUAUAUAUAUAUACGAAGUCGGACGUUUCAGGCUAGUUUCCGACGCAAAUGGGGUAUUACACUUUUUUUUUAAUUAACCCAGAGAUCGUAAUGAACCAGUAGAAUUUUUAUUUCAAUUUUACAAGACCGAAAAGUGUUGCUCAAAACCUAUUUUUUAUUUAUGAUUUUGAAUUUUCGCGCGGAAACGCUAGCCGCCGUGCUGUUUCGGUCUGUGACGUCACUCCGUUGUGGACUCACCAUCGUCACCAUCGAGGGUUGACCGAAUGAAUUGAGAUGAAAAAAUCAUCGUUAUUAAUCGCGGCUUAUCAACAUUCACGACACGGUUUGCGGGAAGGGGAAGAUGAUAAAGAAGAAUGUGAAUCGUCGAUGGAUUGAACAAAUAAACGUAAUUAAUCGGCGUAAAUGAUGGUGCCAACUAACUCGAGCACAACAAAGCCGACGUGUUCGAGGCCCUCGGUGGAUGAAAGAGCCUUCAAGAUCACAGCGAAUUAGAGGUUAUUGAAAGUACAGCGAGGUGCAGAGAAUUCGCAGCACUCGUGAAACGAGUGUCUGUCCCGGGCGUGUUCCGUCGCAUUGUGUCGCCAAAGUCUGGCCCAUUGUACUUUCUUUAAUAAAACAACCUCGUACGUGC